Molecule: ribosomal RNA, 364 nt
Filed under: uncultured soil bacterium
Lineage: Bacteria
Description: bacterial SSU rRNA
Rfam family: Bacterial small subunit ribosomal RNA
Source: RNAcentral
AGAACGAACGCUGGCGGCAUGCCUAAUACAUGCAAGUCGAACGAACUCUUCGGAGUUAGUGGCGCACGGGUGCGUAACGCGUGGGAAUCUGCCCCUUGGUUCGGAAUAACAGUUGGAAACGACUGCUAAUACCGGAUGAUGACGAAAGUCCAAAGAUUUAUCGCCAAGGGAUGAGCCCGCGUAGGAUUAGCUAGUUGGUGAGGUAAAGGCUCACCAAGGCAACGAUCCUUAGCUGGUCUGAGAGGAUGAUCAGCCACACUGGGACUGAGACACGGCCCAGACUCCUACGGGAGGCAGCAGUGGGGAAUAUUGGACAAUGGGCGCAAGCCUGAUCCAGCCAUACCGCGUGGGUGAAGAAGGCCUU